GACGGAAGGUGCAAGCGUUGCUCGGAAUCACUGGGCGUAAAGGGUGCGUAGGCGGCCGUGCAAGUCUGGCGUGAAAGCCCCGGGCUCAGCCCGGGAAGUGCGCUCGAAACUGCGCGGCUCGAGUGCCGGAGGGGAGAGUGGAAUUCCUGGUGUAGCGGUGAAAUGCGCAGAUAUCAGGAGGAACACCCGUGGCGAAAGCGGCUCUCUGGGACGGUACUGACGCUGAGACGCGAAAGCGUGGGGAGCGAACAGG
Molecule: ribosomal RNA, 253 nt
Filed under: uncultured bacterium
Lineage: Bacteria
Description: partial 16S ribosomal RNA
Rfam family: Bacterial small subunit ribosomal RNA
Source: RNAcentral